Molecule: long non-coding RNA, 260 nt
Filed under: Pan troglodytes (chimpanzee)
Lineage: Eukaryota; Metazoa; Chordata; Mammalia; Primates; Hominidae
Description: long non-coding RNA NONPTRT004844
Source: RNAcentral
UGUGAUCCACCUGCCUCGGCUUCCCAAAGUGCUGGGAUUACAGGCGUGAGCCACCGCACCCGGCCUGCCUCCUCUUCAUCACUCAGUCCCAGGGGGACUCAUCUCCGCUUCUCAGCAUUGUGCUGUUUCCAGGUCACGUUUGCUCCCUGAGCCACCUGUUCUCCACCUGCCUUUAUCCCAUGCUCCCUGCCCAGGGCUUCCAGGAGCCACCCCGCGGCCCUUAUCACCUGGGCCACCUCUGCAUUUGUCAUGGGUUGUUU